AAGACUAUAGACCUGCGGAGUACCUGCGGAAGGAUCAUCGCUGGAUCUCGGAUCUAUUAUGCGUGUGAACUGUAUGUGUGGGGGAGGGUUGGCAGGGGGAGAGUGGGGCGCCGCGGGGCACCCGCAAGGGUGCUGUGUGUGUGGGGCACUGCGGGGCACCCGCAAGUGGGUCACUCCAUGCGCAGCCACGCCUGCCACCCGCUCCGGCAUUUGUGCAAAUCACUAGAUUUCAGACCACUC
This 240-nucleotide unclassified non-coding RNA is filed under the name soil metagenome. RNAcentral describes it as "partial contains 5.8S ribosomal RNA, internal transcribed spacer 2, and large subunit ribosomal RNA". The record is from RNAcentral.